GUUCUCUAUGGGACUUGAACCACUUCAAGAACCGCCCCUCAUAUGGGAAUCUUAUCCACUUUGAUUUACUCUGUUCUCGACGAAGCCUCGGCGUUGGCCUCUCUUCACGUGACGUUGACGGUUACAUUUCCGUUUGCGGUUACGGCUCCCUCCUCUCCGAGAAAAGUGCCAGAUCAACUUUUCCAAACCUAAUUAACUUCCGAACCGCCAGAUUAACCGGUUUCCGCCGUCUCUUCUCCGUUGUAGGACCCGUCUUCUUCUCUCACGGCGUCGCCAACCUCAAAACUCACGAAAUUGUUGCCCUCUCUGUUGAACCUUGUGAAGAUGAAACAAUUAUAAUUACUGUUUUUGAUCUUAACAAAACCGAGAUUCCAGCAUUUAUUCAAAGAGAGCGUGAAUAUAGCUUUUUAUCUGUUUUUCCUCAAUCUCUAGAUGGGAAGCCCUUUACCAAUCCAGCAGUUCUUUGUGCAUCUUACACUGAUGAUGAAUUCUUUAAAUAUAAAUGCUCUGAAGAAAGGGAAAUAUACUUUCAACAAUAUGGAGAGUAUAAUAUCCAUAAGAUUUGGCGGGAUGACGCAUUACCGUGCCGUGUUUAUCUUCGACACUGUGUCCUAGCUGCAAAAAGCCUCGGCGAUGAGGCUUACAAUAACUUCUUGGACCAUACCUUCAUUGCUGAUCGAGAAACAACAAUACGCCAGUACUUUGAGAAAAUGGGCACAAGCAUCAUGGAAGAAGAGCCUCCCGAAUCAUUAAAAACACGUUACGGCGGUUGA
Non-coding RNA from Vicia faba (fava bean), 773 nucleotides. NCBI's taxonomy places the organism in Eukaryota, Viridiplantae, Streptophyta, Magnoliopsida, Fabales, Fabaceae. The record is from the annotation of a GenBank genome assembly.